Molecule: long non-coding RNA, 629 nt
Organism: Cotesia glomerata
Lineage: Eukaryota; Metazoa; Arthropoda; Insecta; Hymenoptera; Braconidae
Exons: 4
Source: RefSeq, a predicted model, not a curated record
GUUAUCGGAAAUGUACGGCCGCAUUUUGAAGGAAAGUUAUAGGAAAGUCUUUCCCUUCAAAAUGUUACGGUUAAAUUGUCAUCAACUUUAAAUAGAAAAUUGCGAUCAACUUAACCACAAUAAUUGUUAGGUAAAAAUUUUCUAGUAAGUUGUAUAUAAGUAAUUUCACCAAAAAAUAGGUUAGAAUAUACGCAAAUUAAGUGAUGAUAAAUUAUGGUUGCAUCUCUCAUUCACUACCAUUGAGGUUUAUUAGUUGGACAUUGUUAGUUACAAAGUAUUGAACAAGCAUUUGUGUUGGUAAGUGACUUAAUAACAAAAUCAAAAUGAAGAAAUAUAUGAUCAUGACCAAAGAUUUUAAUUACAAAUUAAAUUUAAAAAAAAAAACGCUAUUUUGUAAGUUUCAAGAUAGGAUCAACACUGCAUCAAUUUAAAGCUAAACCUUAUUUAGUCUCUGAUUUUGAGCGAUCAAUUCGGUUAUAUGAUGCAUUUGUCUACCAUUCUAAGAAUUGCAACUCGAGCACGACAGCUCGUUGUAAGAAUGUGUAAUUAUAAAUGUACAAGUACAGAAACUUUAACAGAGUACCUAUGGAGGACAGAAUGUCUAUCUUCUUUGAGUGUACGUUAUAAAU